GAUGAAGAACGUAGCGAAAUGCGAUAAGUAAUGUGAAUUGCAGAAUUCAGUGAAUCAUCGAAUCUUUGAACGCACAUUGCGCCCCCCAGUAUUCUGGCGGGCAUGCCUGUUCGAGCGUCAUUUCAACCAUCAAGCCCUGCUUGUGUUGGGGUCCUUCGGCUGCCCGCAGGCCCUGAAAACCAGUGGCGGGCUCGCUAGUCACACCGAGCGCAGUAGCACAUCUCGCUCAGGGCGUGCGGCGGGCUCCAGCCGUUAAAGCACCCACCUUUCGCAAGGUUGACCUCGGAUCAGGUAGGAAUACCCGCUGAACUUAAGCAUAUCAAUAAGCGGAGGA
This 334-nucleotide unclassified non-coding RNA is filed under the name soil metagenome. RNAcentral describes it as "partial contains 5.8S ribosomal RNA, internal transcribed spacer 2, and large subunit ribosomal RNA". The stretch from base 1 to 120 matches the Rfam family "5.8S ribosomal RNA", at positions 35 to 154 of the family's 154-position model. The record is from RNAcentral.